This is a long non-coding RNA of Bombus terrestris (buff-tailed bumblebee), 993 nucleotides long. RefSeq lists it as uncharacterized. The record is from RefSeq and is a predicted model, not a curated record. The transcript is spliced from 4 exons. NCBI's taxonomy places the organism in Eukaryota, Metazoa, Arthropoda, Insecta, Hymenoptera, Apidae.
UUAAGAUUUUAAAGACUGAAGAAGAAAGAUCGGUAGCUGAGGAUGUUGAAAAUCGAUUCUCAAUUUUCAGACUACAGAAUCGAUCCCUGAAUUAUCACCAAAUUACGAUCUUACAAAUCGAUUUUCACUACGCCAUGCCGUUAGAAGUGAAACUACGUAUCGCCCUGAACGAGAACGCAAGGGGGGGGGGGGGAAAUAGAAUGCAUAAGAAUCCAUAAGAAAACCAAAAGAUGAAGUAUGUGAUGUCCUUCCUCCAGAAUAUCAAGCAAGAGAUCAUCAUCCGCGGUUAUUCAGUUUAUCGAUAGUGAAGAAAGCCGCAAACAACUUAACCAAGAAACAAAACAUGCAUGAGAGAGAAGGCACAGACUUUGUCAUAAAACAAUUUGAUGGAACGCAAAAAGCCACAGAUUGGAGUAUGAAAUAUUCAUAUUUCACAUAAGCAUCCCUUCCAUACUCUAAUAUGAGUAUGAAACCGAAUACGAAAAAUACAAAAUCCAAACUGACGAAAAAAGGAUCAAGAAUUUGAAGAAAUAUUUGGGAAAAAUAGCAUCAGAAUGGUACCAAGCAAAUCUGCUGAAGGAUGAAGAAUACAACUGGGAAAAUUGGAAGGUUCAUUCACUGAAUAUGCCAUAAAAAAGGAAUGAUUAAUAUUGGAAGUAAGGAGGAAGACUUCUGAAGAGACAGGGAUAAAUCUAAUUGUUAUUGGAUUACCCAUACACAUUCAAGAUAAAAUCGAUAAAGAAACAGUACAAUCAACAAAUGGCUUAAUCAGAUUCUUGGAGCAAUAUCAGACAAAGGGAAGAAAAACACAAGGGAGUAACACAAGAUUGGACAGAAAGCCAGAGCCACUGCCCAAGAAACAACCUUGUGUGAUUUAUGAAGCACUGAAUUUCCCAGGUCGAUUUCACCCAAUAACAACUCACCAAAGAAAUAUAUGCACAUACUCAUCGAUCAUUUUUCAAGGGCUGUUUUUAUGUCCACAUUGAAAACACA